GAUCAAGUGUCAAAAGGGCGUCCGGGGGAUGCCUUGGCAGAUACAGGCGAUGAAGGACGUGGCAUGCUGCGAAAAGCUUCGGGGAGGUGCAAGCACCCUUUGAUCCGAAGAUGUCCGAAUGGGGAAACCCACCUUUGAGCCUUCUUUGUCCAGCGCAGCUGUCCGUUUUCGGACGGGUGGCGGCUGGGCUGCAUUAAGAGGGUUCUGAAAAAGGUAUCUUUAUCCUGAAUAUAUAGGGACUAAGAGGCGAACGCGGGGAACUGAAACAUCUCAGUACCCGUAGGAAAGGAAAUCAACCGAGACUCCGCUAGUAGUGGCGAGCGAACGCGGACCAGGCCGUGCUUGGAAAAAACUGGAAGCCAUUGGAAUAGGCGCCAUAGAGGGUGACAGCCCCGUACAGGUAAUAUGAAGAGCCGUUAGAGUAGGGCGGGGCACGUGAAACCCUGUCUGAAUUUGGGGGGACCACCCUCCAAGCCUAAGUACUCGUAUCUGACCGAUAGUGAACAAGUACCGUGAGGGAAAGGUGAAAAGCACCCCUAAAAGGGGAGUGAAACAGUACCUGAAACCGGAUGCCUACAAGCAGUCGGAGCACCUUUUGGUGUGACGGCGUACCUUUUGUAUAAUGGGUCAGCGACUUAGUCUCUCGAGCAGCUUAAGCCGAUAGGUGUAGGCACAGCGAAAGCGAGUCUUAAUAGGGCGUUUGUUCGAGGGAUUAGACCCGAAACCCGGUGAUCUAGAUAUGAGCAGGCUGAAGGUGCGGUAACACGCACUGAAGGGCCGAACCCACACCUGUUGAAAAAGGUCGGGAUGACUUGUGUCUAGGGGUGAAAGGCCAAUCAAACCGGGAGAUAGCUGGUUCUCCGCGAAAUCUAUUUAGGUAGAGCGUCAUCUGAAUACCCUCGGGGGUAGAGCACUGGAUGGGCUAUGGGGGCUUACCGCCUUACUGAUCCUAACCAAACUCCGAAUACCGAGGAGUACUGGGUGGCAGACACACGGCGAAUGCUAACGUCCGUCGUGGAGAGGGAAACAACCCUGACCGGCAGCUAAGGUCCCCAAGUCAUGGCUAAGUGGGAAAGGAUGUAGGAAUCCCAAAACAACCAGGAGGUUGGCUUAGAAGCAGCCAUCCUUUAAAGAAAGCGUAACAGCUCACUGGUCUAAUUAAGGGUUCCCGCGCCGAAAAUGUAACGGGGCUCAAGCCAUGCACCGAAGCUCCGGGCGUUUACGCGGUAGCGGAGCGUUCCGGGAACGAGACCACCCCUAUUCUCGACAGUAUUCCGUCUUAACCAGCCGGAGCCGUCGAGAAUAUUGUUCAGCAUAGGGGUGAUCUUUCAGUGAAGCCGGCCCGUGAGGGAUCCGGUGGAGAGAACGGAAGUGAGAAUGCUGACACGAGUAGCGACAGGAGUGUGAGAAUCACUCCCGCCGAAAGUCCAAGGGUUCCUGCGUAAAGCUAAUCUGCGCAGGGUUAGCCGGCCCCUAAGGCGAGGGCGAAAGCCGUAGUCGAUGGGAACACUGUUAAUAUUCAGUGGCCAGUGGAUGUGUGACGGAUCUGAGAGCUCGUCGUCCUUAUUGGAUUGGGCGGCGUUGGUAAGGGUCCCUGGAAAUAGCCUCCACAUUAGACCGUACCCUAAACCGACACAGGUGGACUGGUAGAGCAUACCAAGGCGCUUGAGAGAACUGCGUUGAAGGAACUCGGCAAAUUACUCCCGUAAGUUCGCGAGAAGGGAGCCUCAUCAUGAAGAUGAGGGGCACAGACCAGGGGGUGGCGACUGUUUACUAAAAACAUAGGGCUCUGCGAAGUCGCAAGACGACGUAUAGGGUCUGACGCCUGCCCGGUGCCGGAAGGUUAAGAGGAGGUGUGCAAGCACCGAAUUGAAGCCCCGGUAAACGGCGGCCGUAACUAUAACGGUCCUAAGGUAGCGAAAUUCCUUGUCGGGUAAGUUCCGACCUGCACGAAUGGCGUAACGACUUCCCCACUGUCUCCAACGCAGACUCAGCGAAACUGAAUUCUCCGUGAAGAUGCGGAGUACCCGCGGUCAGACGGAAAGACCCCGUGCACCUUUACUACAGCUUUGCACUGGCAUUAGUGACACCAUGUGUAGGAUAGGCGGGAGGCUUUGAAAUCCGGGCGCCAGCUCGGAUGGAGCCGUUGGUGAAAUACCGCCCUUGUUGUCAUUGAUGUCUAACCGCGGCCCGUUAUCCGGGUCCGGGACCGUGCAUGGUGGGUAGUUUGACUGGGGCGGUCGCCUCCUAAAUUGUAACGGAGGCGCGCGAAGGUUGGCUCAGAGCGGUCGGAAAUCGCUCGUUGAGUGCAAUGGCAUAAGCCAGCCUGACUGCGAGACUGACAAGUCGAGCAGAGUCGAAAGACGGCCAUAGUGAUCCGGUGGUCCCGUGUGGAAGGGCCAUCGCUCAACGGAUAAAAGGUACGCCGGGGAUAACAGGCUGAUGACGCCCAAGAGUCCAUAUCGACGGCGUUGUUUGGCACCUCGAUGUCGGCUCAUCGCAUCCUGGGGCUGGAGCAGGUCCCAAGGGUUUGGCUGUUCGCCAAUUAAAGCGGUACGUGAGCUGGGUUUAGAACGUCGUGAGACAGUUCGGUCCCUAUCUGCCGUGGGAGUUGGAAACUUGAGAGGAGCUGUCCUUAGUACGAGAGGACCGGGAUGGACGUACCUCUGGUGGACCUGUUGUGGCGCCAGCCGCAUAGCAGGGUAGCUAUGUACGGAACGGAUAACCGCUGAAAGCAUCUAAGCGGGAAGCCGCCCUCAAUACCAGGUUUCCCUGAGAGCCGUGGAAGACCACCACGUUGAUAGGCCAGAUGUGGAAGCGCAGUGAUGCGUGAAGCUGACUGGUACUAAUUGCUCGAUAGGCUUGAUCGU
Molecule: ribosomal RNA, 2870 nt
Organism: Parvularcula bermudensis HTCC2503
Lineage: Bacteria; Pseudomonadati; Pseudomonadota; Alphaproteobacteria; Parvularculales; Parvularculaceae
Rfam family: Bacterial large subunit ribosomal RNA
Source: Rfam